RNAcentral lists this long non-coding RNA (202 nucleotides) under Lathyrus oleraceus (garden pea). RNAcentral describes it as "Pisum sativum (pea) long non-coding RNA (PSAT_LNC007647)". The record is from RNAcentral. Lineage: Eukaryota; Viridiplantae; Streptophyta; Magnoliopsida; Fabales; Fabaceae.
UUUUAUUUUAUUUCCUUUUAUUUCAAAAAUUCAUAUCUCUUUCAUUUUAAAUCCAAAAAAUAUGGGACCAAUUGAAUUAUUUCCCUUUUUAAUUCUAGUUUAUGAAAAUGAUUUUUAUUAUUUUUUAUUUUUUCAUUUGAUAUUUUUUUUUUGAAUUUUCUCUUUUCUGGUUAUUUUUAAUUCAUUUAAAAUAGUUUCCAAU